UGUUAUUGCUAAUUUAGACCACCUCUAGGAUGAAGCUGAGAGGAAUGUAAAGAGUGACUGCAAAAUCUCAAAAAAACUGACUGCUGCAAGACAACACUCAACAGCAGCUGAUCCAACCAAAUUCAUACUAUGGGCAGCACCUGGACCCGAUUCAGCUAAACUGUUUUUGAAGAGAUACAAAUAUUAAAAACAGGGUACCUUUGAAUUGGAUUGAAUGUCAGAUGGUUAUAAAAGGAAACAUGAUUCUGGAUAUGUAUGAUUCUUUUGUAAAGCAAAAGAAAAAGGAAGAAAGGAACAAGCUUUAAAAAGAUGAUGGGUUCUCUGCUGAAUUUUAUGAGAGAAGAUUUGAGUGACAAUGCAAGCUCUCCCAUCGAUCCAUCAUCAUCAUGACUCCAGUACUCAGAUUCAAGCAUUUGUCUACUAUUCACUAAUCUUAAAUUUGUUUUUAAUGCUGAGAUAGUAAAGGUCAAUUUAGAGCCCUACUUCACACUACAAGCCUCAGGACCUAAUCUUUUAAAUAGUUUGAACACAACAUUUUGUAAUGUUUCCACUGCUUGUAUAUAGAUUUUUAAUGCCACACCUUUCUACUCUGUCAGGCUAAGAGAUUUAAGAAAUGUCUAUGUGUUGCACUCAAGUCACAGCUGCAGGCUAAGCAUCAAAGCUUAAAGUUGUUUUCUUAUAUAAAGCAGUUCAAAAGCUUAGACCUGCCAGGAGAAGAGAUGUCAAAUCAACACUUGACUUUUGAAAUCAGUAGAGUCCAGGGGCAUUAUGUUGUGUUUGUGUGAGGGGUUUUUUUUAGUUUGUUUGUCUGACUUAGGUGGUGCACAAAUAAUUAGAUUACUAUAUGUGCCUACAGAGGUAGAACAAGAAACCUAAACCUUGUUUUGUCUACUAUUGAUCAAGAAGUGCCCAUGAGACAUCUGAGAUACUGAGUGAGUGAUAAAGUUGAUUGAAAACCUGAGCCUAGUAUUUCACAUUAUUGGGUACACUUAUUUCUAAAGUUAUCUAUUCUCUUAGAAAGUUUUUUUUCUCAGUGGGUAAAAUUAAAGUAUUAUAUAAUGUCUUUUGCAGUCAGUCAGUAGCAAUAUACCAGGGAUGAAUUUGGCCCAAUGUAUUUAAACAGAUAUAGAGGAAUUAAUAUAUUAAAAGUUACUUUCAGAAAAUGAUUUGCAACAACAGAAGGCUGCUGUGGUUUAGUUGUUCUAGGGAACUGCAGAACUAUGAGUUCUGGGACUAUGGGUGCAUGGAGUUAUCCACAUUUCUACCUCAUUACUGGAAGCUCAAGUCAGGUUUCUGCUGAAGAAGCCUAUAAUGCUAGAUGUUGUAGGAAGUACCACCCAGUGAAACCAUUGUGGUGUCUUCCACAGCCCACUGAUUGAUUGAUUGUCUCAUGUCAGGAUAUAAACCAAGAGGCCUGUGUGAUGAGCCAAUUGAGCAAUGAUGCAGAAUGUUUCCUUCUGCUCAAGAUCUUGCCUUGCUGUGAACCCUGGAUACCAUUUCUGACCCCAGUUACUUGCCUGUUAUUUGUAACCUGAUACCUGACCCUGACUUCCUGGUAUCAUGACCUGGUUUGACACUAACUCUGCAACUUGCAUCCCACUUGGCACUUUGUGCCUGACUGAUUUUCUGGUAUCCUUACCCAUUUUGACCCUAAUACUGCUGCUUGUCUCCUGACUGCAACUUGGUAACUGAUCAAUGCACACAGUCCAACCCUGGACUGACCCUGACCGUUUGGAUGUAUGUGACUUGUAUUCUCUGAGGGCUCGUCUUCACUACAUGGUGGAUCGAUGGAAGACACCGUGGAACAAUGGUAGGAACUGGUAGUAUUGUCCCAGCAUUUGAUCAAGCAAACUGCAACUAUGUUGUGUGCAUUCUGCCACCAUGAAUUCAUAAAGUAGAACACCACCUAGUAAUGGUUAUGCUGAACAAGCAGGGAUUCUGCAGGUAAGGUCAAAUGCUAGCCACAGGCGUACCAUUUCUGCUAAUCAGAAUGGGAAGAGAGGUAAGAGAAUCAAUAAAUAGAGACUGAAGGAAAAUAAGUAGGUGGACUCCUUGCAUUUAGGC
Molecule: non-coding RNA, 2064 nt
Organism: Pelodiscus sinensis (Chinese soft-shelled turtle)
Lineage: Eukaryota; Metazoa; Chordata; Testudines; Trionychidae
Source: RefSeq, a predicted model, not a curated record